GGGUAAAAGCUCGUUUGAUUC
Molecule: small RNA, 21 nt
Filed under: Arabidopsis thaliana (thale cress)
Lineage: Eukaryota; Viridiplantae; Streptophyta; Magnoliopsida; Brassicales; Brassicaceae
Description: snRNA_15736
Source: RNAcentral